Onychostoma macrolepis is the source of this 618-nucleotide long non-coding RNA. RefSeq lists it as uncharacterized. NCBI's taxonomy places the organism in Eukaryota, Metazoa, Chordata, Actinopteri, Cypriniformes, Cyprinidae. The transcript is spliced from 3 exons. The record is from RefSeq and is a predicted model, not a curated record.
GUAACAGCUCUGUAAUUUAUCUUUAGCUAAACGUUUUAUUAAAACUAUUAACACUGUCAGCUUUUGGACACGCAUUAGCCGUAGUGGAUCAUAGUGUCUGGUUCAAUCUGUUGAUAUUCCAUCUGGAGUUCAGGUCAGGCAUGUUGGCUGGCCAAUCAAGCACAGUAAUAUCAUGGUCGGCAAACCACUUGGAACCACUGUGGGCAAGUCCUGCUGGAAAAGGAAAUUGACAUCUGCUUGUCAGCAGAUGGAAGCAUAAAGUGCUCCAAAAUCUCCUGGUAGACGGCUGCAUUGACUUUGGACUUGAUAAAACACAAUGGACCAACACCAGCAGACGUCACGGCACCCCAAAUCAUCACAGACUGUAUAAACUUCACACUGGACUUCAAGCAGCUUGGAUUCUGUGCCUCUCCACUCUUCCUCCAGACUCCAGACCUUGAUUUCCAAAUGAAAUGCAAAAUGUACUUUUAUCUGAAAAGAGGACUUUGGACCACUGAGCAACAGUCAGUUCUUUUUCUCCACAGCCCAGAUUUGCUGUGGGGUCUUCACACAACCAGCCCUGGAGAGCCAGAAACAAAGGCAGUCGUGACCACUCACAGACUCUUCACAGCACCAGCC